GCUAAUUCUGACAACGAAUCUGUUCUCACUUUAGGAACUGAUUCUAUCAGUGAGUCUGCAUCUAGUUUUACAGAAUCAGAUGAAUCUGAUAAUGGUAGCCGCACUAAUAAAAAGAAGAAUGUUAAUAAGUCAAAAAAAGUGAUCAACAAAAAAGUGAAAAGUGACCAGUCAAACUCUGCCAAAACUACAGCUGCCUCUGAAGUACAGCAAGAAAUAGCUGAAGAAAAUUCUUGUUCAACCUCAGAUACUACACAUACCAACAGCAUAGCCUCCUUUGUCAUCAAUGAUAAAUGUCUUAGCUCCGUGGCUUCAGUUCAUUGUUAGAUUACCUCAAGAACUGGUUGAAUCGACAGCUUCAGCAAACUCCAUCCAACGGAGAGUGCGUCAGAUGGAGAAUGAUGUUUUUAAAGACUUAGAUCUAAGAUGGUGUAAGCAGGCUAGUCGUCCUGUCAACCGGUCAAAAAUGACACCUUCAAGAAAAGUGAUUGACA
This 491-nucleotide long non-coding RNA is filed under the name Lupinus mutabilis. RNAcentral describes it as "partial ncRNA". The record is from RNAcentral. Lineage: Eukaryota; Viridiplantae; Streptophyta; Magnoliopsida; Fabales; Fabaceae.